Molecule: long non-coding RNA, 923 nt
Organism: Oncorhynchus tshawytscha (Chinook salmon)
Lineage: Eukaryota; Metazoa; Chordata; Actinopteri; Salmoniformes; Salmonidae
Source: Ensembl
ACCUGUUUUGUAUGACAGGCUAAAGGUUAUAACCUGUUUUGUAUGAUAGGCUAAAGGUUAUCACCUGUUUUGUAUGACAGGCUAAAGGUUAUAACCUGUUUUGUAUGACAGGCUAUAGGUUAUAACCUGUUUUGUAUGACAGGCUAUAGGUUAUAACCUGUUUUGUAUGACAGGCUAAAGGUUAUAACCUGUUUUGUAUGACAGGCUAUAGGUUAUAACCUGUUUUAUAUGACAGGCUAAAGGUUAUAACCUGUUAUGGAUUAUAGGCAAAAGGUUAUAACCUGUUAAGGAUUAUAGGCUAUAGGUUAUAACCUGUUAUGGAUGAUAGGCUAUAGGUUAUAACCUGUUAUGGAUUAUAGGCAAAAGGUUAUAACCUGUUGUGAAUGAUAGGCUUUAUGUUAUAACCUGUUAUGAAUUAUAGACUAUAGGUUAUAACCUGUUAUGGAUUAUAAACUAUAGGUUAUAACCUGUAAUGGAUUAUUGGUUAUAACAAGAAAGGACCACACUCUUUUUACUAACAAAACUGUGAUGACUGUUGAGAAGGUGACAUAUCCAGAAAGAAGUCCUAACUAUAUGUUCUUUGAAUUCAUACUUAAAAAAUGUCCGCAUUGUUUUUUUAAAAUUGUUAACCAAAUUAGAUUUAGUGAUUGUACAAUAUUAAAAGUGUACAUUUUGUUCAUUUAAAGCGAAGAAGGGAAUAAGACAUAAUUGCGUAUCUUAUUAUUAUCUUAUUAUUAUAAAGAGUAAGAAACCUCUUCUUCUGGUCUGUUUCUAUCCACAACGUUGUAUACAAUUGCUGGUUUUGUAAUGCACUGUAGAGAAAGCAGUUCCACUGUUCAUUUUUCUUCUCUUUUUUUUAAAUAGAAAUGGUAUUUCGAUGGUGUAUUCUUUUUGUUUGAUAAAUAAAGUUUUGAUACAAAAUA